AACGAUGAACCACUUCGGUGGGGAUUAGUGGCGAACGGGUGAGUAACACGUGGGCAAUCUGCCCUGCACUCUGGGACAAGCCCUGGAAACGGGGUCUAAUACCGGAUACUGACUACUGGGGGCAUCUUCAGUGGUCGAAAGCUCCGGCGGUGCAGGAUGAGCCCGCGGCCUAUCAGCUUGUUGGUGAGGUAGUGGCUCACCAAGGCGACGACGGGUAGCCGGCCUGAGAGGGCGACCGGCCACACUGGGACUGAGACACGGCCCAGACUCCUACGGGAGGCAGCAGUGGGGAAUAUUGCACAAUGGGCGAAAGCCUGAUGCAGCGACGCCGCGUGAGGGAUGACGGCCUUCGGGUUGUAAACCUCUUUCAGCACGGAAGAAGCGAAAGUGAC
RNAcentral lists this ribosomal RNA (392 nucleotides) under Streptomyces sp. E155. RNAcentral's name for it is "bacterial SSU rRNA". It matches the Rfam family "Bacterial small subunit ribosomal RNA", at positions 65 to 473 of the family's 1533-position model. Lineage: Bacteria; Bacillati; Actinomycetota; Actinomycetes; Kitasatosporales; Streptomycetaceae. The record is from RNAcentral.